UGUUUGACAAAUAGAAAAAUACUAAUUGAAGGAAAUCUUUUUCCAUAAAUAUCUUUAUCUCUUUCAUACUCUUUGACUUCACAUGAUAGAUAUAUUUAUAAUUAUAAGUGACCAACCAGUUCAGUAACUGAGAUCUCUUGUCGGGUGUCUGUGGGUAUGUAUAUGCCAGCGCAUGUCUCGGGGAAAUUUUCUCACUUAUCCGACUUCAUUCAGUACUGAGUACACGCGCAGUCGGGAAUCUGUGACGUCAGUCUCUGAUGUCCCGUUCUGCUUUAUGUGACCCCGGGGUCAGGGAAACUGUCGAGCCGUGUCUGCGGUGUGAGUCCACGUCCGGCCGGAGCCACUUGAAGGGACUUUGCGGGCGGAAACGAUAAACUCUGUUUCACCUGUUGGAAAACUUUCCACAAAAUGUCAGAGUGCGUGGCUUUACCGCGCUACACGCGCAAUCUCCCCUCUACACUGGAACCUCAUUAGAACGUCUGGCGAGUGUCCGAGAGUGAAACUUGUUUACGAGGGUGUAAAACUCGCGUUUAUUGGACAAUCAGGAAAAAACAUCAUACACAGACCAGUCCGUCUCGCCAGAUGUCCUGUGAUAUGAAGGAGGACCUCUUGUGCUCAGUCUGUCCAGAAUCACUGACGUGGAUGUCCCCAUGUCCCGCUCCAUCCUCUGCUACCUCCACUCAAUGUUGAAUGUGAAAGGAGGUCCACUGUAUGUGAUCAGCCUCACCCUGAGAAUGUAAAGACGCUGUUUCCAAAAAUAAACCUUGUCGGUAAAAGGUUUCUGCAUUUCGUGAUUCACAUCAAGUUAGCAUCCAUCCUACUAAACAUCAUCCAAACAGCAAACGUUCAAAAUAAAAUUCCAAUCAAAUAUCAA
Long non-coding RNA from Pomacea canaliculata, 874 nucleotides. RefSeq lists it as uncharacterized. The record is from RefSeq and is a predicted model, not a curated record. Lineage: Eukaryota; Metazoa; Mollusca; Gastropoda; Architaenioglossa; Ampullariidae. The transcript has 2 exons.